UUAAGAGAUUUAGUUGCUUGCUCCAAAACCAAAUGAUACCAUUACAAGUUAUCGACAGUAUAAUUAUGGCAGAAAUCAAACAAUUAAAUACAGGUUGUAUUUUUUUAUGAAUAGGCUGGAUCUUGAGUUUUCUUAUUUUCUAUUAUUAUGCUAGGAUCUAGUGUUUCUCAUGAGGGGAAGAGGAAAGGGCUGGAACCGGUUUGGGUCAUUUUUGGAUUAACAUUCAGGCUAGUCUUGGCUAGGUUCUCAUCCAGAUCUGUUGAGAAGAGAUGGAAGUUAGAAUUGAUUAUGAUACAUACAAAUACCAGUGUGAUUGUAUUACCAAAGCUUCAGAUUAUUGCAACAUUAGAGGUUCUUAAAGUUGAG
Molecule: long non-coding RNA, 366 nt
Filed under: Populus trichocarpa (black cottonwood)
Lineage: Eukaryota; Viridiplantae; Streptophyta; Magnoliopsida; Malpighiales; Salicaceae
Description: long non-coding RNA (PTRI_LNC000992)
Source: RNAcentral